CUUGCCUCAGGAUUCACCCUUUAUAAUUAUCAUCUUAUUACAUGCUAGGCCUACAUUUAAAUGUCUUCUGGGUACCAGAAACAUUUCUAGGAGCUGUACAUGAAUGAACAAGACAAACAAGAUCCCUGUUGAUAUGGAUCUUACAUUUCAGGCAUUGAAGCAGG
This is a long non-coding RNA of Hyaena hyaena (striped hyena), 164 nucleotides long. RefSeq lists it as uncharacterized. NCBI's taxonomy places the organism in Eukaryota, Metazoa, Chordata, Mammalia, Carnivora, Hyaenidae. The record is from RefSeq and is a predicted model, not a curated record. The transcript is spliced from 2 exons.